CCACAUUCUGUCUCUCAUGGUUGAGGUUUACCCAUGUUGACAAUUAGAGGCCUCUAAUAUUUUCAAGUGGGAGAACUUGCACAAUUAGUGGUUGACUAAAUAUUUAUUUGCCCCACUGUAUCUAAAUUCGCAUGAAUGUGGCCUUGAACCACACCCCUGACGUAGCCUAAUGCUAGCAUAGCAAAAUCUGUUGUGGACAACAGGUCUUUAUGGGGUUAACUGCGUUUUCUUUUUAAUGACAAAAACAGUUACCUGCCCUAGAAAGGGUUAAAAUACAAACACAGUUUAUACGCUCUUUUUGUCCUUGACGUCGGGAGGCGUGCCCCCAGUGGUCCCGAAAUAAAUACAAAUGGAAAAAAAUAGGCACAAUUUCUGGCGUUAGCACGAAACAAGUUAGCGCGCGCGGUCACGACAACAACACCACGAUUCAGCGUUUUGAUGGGCUUUUUUCUUUUUACAUCACGGCCCGACGUCAUCUGAGGAGGCGGAGCUUUCCGAGCGCACGUCCUUAGCGCCGCCCGGUGACUUGCCGUGUUUAGAACUGGACUUCCUCAGCAUGCGCACCUGUGAGAGAAAAAAAAAAUCCAAUGCUAAUGCUCAUGCUAAUGUUAAUGCUAAUUCGUUUAAUCCAUUGGAGGCCGUAGUUUUUGACCUGUGAGAGAAAAAAAACCCAAUGCUAAUGGUAAAGCUAAUGCUAACUUGUUUAAUUCGUUGGCUGCCAUAGUUUAUUGACCUUGUGUCCCGCCGCGGAGACGACGAUGUGUCCCGGAGCUUGCAGCCAAGGUUCUCCGUCCACUUGGACCGGGCAAGUUUUCUUCAGCGUCACGCGCAUGUAAUUCCCUUGAGCGAUACGAAUGCCGGAACGCAGGCCGCUCUGCACCUGACCCUGCAGAGACAAAGGAGCAUUCGGGCGACGUCCGAGGAGCCGAGAGCGGGAGAACUCACCAUGUGGACCACGCCGGUGACGCCCACCACUUCAAGUAAACCGUCAGACAUGCUGGGUUUGGCGUAUCGAGCAUCCCCCUCGGAACCCCAGAGGUCGGCGCCGGAGCCCCAGCUAGCGGGAACGCACGCGGGGAAAAUGAGGCCUUCGAUGCUGGGGAGCGGCACGUCCCGGUCGUCCACGCGCAGCUGCAGUUCCCGGUGCAGACUCCUGGUGGCACUGAUCUUCUGCAGGCCCACCUUCACGUACACGCCCUUGUUGUGGAACCUGGGAAGCAAACGGAAGAUCUCAGAUCCGUCGCACGCGAGGUCCCGCGCGUCCAGCAGGACGGUCCAGCGGUCCAUCAGAACCUCCUCCGCCUGAUCCACGCCGUCCAGGACCCGGCUCGGGUCCUCGCCGCCGUAACCCGGGCCCCAGCGCAGCACGCGAGACAGGUCGUUACCUUUGGGAAGGAGCGGCGUUAGCCCCGAGCGCCGUGACGCGGCAAGCGCCGGUUUACCUGUUCCGAGCGGCACGAUGGCGACGGGCGGCUCGCGGCAGACCAGACUGUAACGUAGGUCAUCCAAAGCGUUUAGGACCCAGCCCACCGUACCGUCGCCUCCGCAGAUCAACACGCGGAAGCUGGGAAUGGCCCGGAAAGUGUGGAGGCUGCAAAAGUAGGGGUGGGAACCUCUGGGUAUUUUAGGAAAUUCUACAAUACAACUAAUAAACAGAAUGACUAGUAGAUGUCCAAUCCGUUUAAAGUGGGAUUGAUGGCAACAACUGAACAUUCUAUAGCUGUCAGUGGCAGACAAUGCCAGGCAGGUCAAUUCCUAUUGAUAUUGAGUUACUGGGGCAUUUCAUGUCAUUUCCUGUUGUUUUUUUUGUCACUUCCUGUUGAUUUUGGAGCAUUUACAGGUCACUAUUAUGUUGAUUUUGGGUUACUGAGGCAUUUCAUGUCAUUUCCUGUUGAUUUUCAGUCACUUCCUGUUGAUUUGGGGCCAUUUUCAGGUCAUUUCUUUUAGAUUUUGGGUUUCUGGGGCAUUUUAUGUCAUUUCCUGUUGAGUUUCACUCACUUCCUUUUGAUUUUUUGACAUUUAAUGGUCACUUCCUGUUGAUUUUGGGGCCCUUAUACAUCACUUCCUGUUGAUUUUGGGUUACUGGGGCAGUUCACGUCAUCUCCUGUUGAUUUUCAGUCACUUCCUGUUUAUUUUGUGGCAUUUAUAGGUUGCUUCCUGUUGAUUUUGGUGCAUUUAAAGGUCACUUCCUGUUGAUUUUGGUGCAUUUACAGGUCACUUCCUGUUGAUUUUGGGUGACUGGGGAAUUUCACGUCAUUUCCUGUUGAUUUUCUGUCACUUUCUGAUGAUUUUGGGACAUUUACUGGUCACUUCCUGUGGGUUCUGGGUUACUGGGCCAUGACACGUCAUUUCCUGUUGAUUUUAGGGCACAUACUGGUCACUUCCUGUUGAUUCGGGGGCAUUUACUGGUCACUUACUGUUGAGCCUGGGUUACUGAGGCAUUUCACGUUAUUAUAGUGUUGAUUUUCGGUCACUUCUUACUGAUUUCGGGCAUUUACGGGUCACUUUCUGUUGAUUUUAGGUCAUUGGUAGGUCACCUCCUAUUGAUUUUGGAUUACUGGGGCAUUUCACGUCAUUUUCUGUUAAUUUUUGGUAUUUCACUGUUGAUUUUGGGGCAUUUACAGGUUCACUUCCUGUUGAUUUUGGGGCAUUUACAGGUUCACUUUUGAUUUGGGGGCAUUUACAGGUUCACUUUCUGUUGAUUUUGGGUUACUGAGGCAUUUCAAGUCAUUUCCUGUUGAUUUUCGGUCACUUCCUGUUGAUUUUUGGGCAUUUGUAGGUCACUUCCUGUUGAUUUUGGGUAACUGGAGCAUUUCACGUCAUUACCUGUUGAUUUUCGGUCACUUCCUGUUGAUUUUGGGCCAUUUACAGGCCAUUUCCUUUAGAUUUUGGGUUUCUGGGGCAUUUUAUGUCAUUUCCUGAUGAGUUUCAGUCACUUCCUUUUGAUUUUUGGACAUUUAAUGGUCACUUCCUGUUGAUUCUGGGUGACUGGGCCAUGACACGUCAUUUCCUGUUGAUUUUGGGGCACAUACUGGUCACUUCCUGUUGAUUUUGGGGCAUUUACUGGUCACUUACUGUUGAUCUUGGGUUACUGAGGCAUUUCACGUUAUUUUAGUGUUGAUUUUCGGUCACUUCUUAUUGAUUUUGGGCAUUAACGGGUCACUUUCUGUUGAUUUUAGGUCAUUGGUAGGUCACUUCCAAAUGAUUUUGGUUUAUUGGGGCAUUUCACGUCAUUUUCUGUUGAUUUUUAGUGUUUCACUGUUGAUUUUGAGAUACUUACAGGUCACUUCCUGUUGAUUUUGGGUUACUGAGGCAUUUCAAGUCAUUUCCAGUUGAUUUCCGGUCACUUCCUGUUGAUUUUUGGGCAUUUGUAGGUCCCUUCCUGUCGAUUUUGGGUAACUGGGGCAUUUCACGUCAUUACCUGUUGAUUUUCGGUCACUUCCUGUUGAUUUUGGAGCAUUUACAGGGGACUUCCUGUUGGACUAUAGGUUAUUGGGCCAUUAGCGGGUCACUUCCUGUUAAAUUUAGGGCAUUUACAGGUCACUUCCUUUUGAUUUCUGGGCAUUUACAGGUCACUUCCUGUUGAUUUUGGGUUACUGAGGCAUUUCAAGUCAUUUCCUGUUGAUUUUCGGUCACUUCCUGUUGAUUUUGGAGCAUUUACAGGUGACUUCCUGUUGGACUAUAUGUUAUUGAGCCAUUGACAGGUCACUUACUGUUAAUUUUGGGGCAUUUACAGGUCAAUUUCUGUUGGAUUUUAGGUUACUGGGCAUAAACAGUAACUUCCUGUUGAUUUUGGGGCAUUUACACAUCAAUUCCUGUUCCUAUUUUGUGUUACUGAAAAAGAAGUGAAUCAAGAAUGUCCCCCAAUGAAUAGAAAGUGAUUCAAAAUCAACAGGAAGUAACCUGUAAAUACCCUAAAAUGAACAGGAAAUGCCCAAAAGGUUCUGAAUGCUCUAGUUUCAAUGCCACUGACAGUGCUAGACCUCCAAUCCAGUCAAAAUGAAUUGGACGUCUAGCACCGUAAGUGAGCGAACGUAUGUCGUAACGUAUGUCUAUGUUGUCACACCCCUAACAGUAAUUGAGGAUAAUUUUGCAUCGUCUUUGUUAACUCCUUGACUGCAAUUUUGACUGGGAGUAUGCUGUUAGUUCUGACGAGUAUGAAAAAGCAAGACGUUUGAAAAUGUAGUCACCCCGGCAGUGGCCCUCCCUGAGACAAGUCAAAGACUUGGUGCGGAUUGAGAAUCUUGCGGAAGCCGUAGAGAAGCUCUUUUCCCUUCAGUCCGCCGCUCUUGGUGUUGACGAACACCAGCAGGGGGCGCACAUCCUCAUCCAGAAGGCUGACCUGUUAACAACAACAUGACACACCAGGUCAACCCUUAAUAAUAGGGGGGUGAAUCUUUCGCUCCACGUUACCUGGACGUCCGGGACGACGAGCGAAGUGAGCGACUUGUUGUCCACGCGGGUGUCUUUGGCCAACAUGAAGAGGCGCUCGGCUUCGGAGAAACACGUCACCCGCAGGGCCACCGCGCCUGAACGAACAACGGCGAGUAAGAAGUGACAAGCCGGAGAGCCCGAAGAGCGUCUCACCUUGGCUGGCGUACACGUGGCUGAUGUCCACCAGGUGACCUGCCGAGAAAAAGGGCGUGAAGAAGCAAAAGGGAGCAUAAGCAUAGGGACGGGCGGGAGCGUACUCACUUUUGACGCUCAGGUGUUCCAGCAUGAGCUGCCAGUAGUCUUCUUUGUCCGGCAGGUUUGGCAGCCCUCCAAUCAGCAGGCUGAUCUGCACCUCUUGGCUCCGCCUCUCUGCCACGUAGAAACGAGUCUGGUGCAUCUGGCGCAAAGACACCUGGGCGCGAGAUGACACGUUACAGCCAAAACGUCGUCCUUGUGGUCAUGAUUCUAAAAUUUCUACUCAAUAUCGACACUCACAUAUAAUAAAUACCAUUUUCCAUACAUAAAUAAUUUCUUUUUUUUUUAAAAAUUGUGACAAAAAAAAGCUUCCUCAAUUUGCCACAAAAUUAAUAGGAAGUGACCCAAAAUGUACAGGAAGUGACCUGUAAAUGCACCAAACCAUCAGAAAGUAACACAAAAUUAAAUAUUUGUUUUUUUCAAGAACUCUUACAGUGUUUCUCUAUUAAUGGUUAUUAUUUUUGACCAAAAAAGCUUUCUCAAAUUGCCCAAAUUUAACAGGAAGUGACCUAAAAUGUACAGGAAGUAACCUGUAAAUGCCCCAAACCAACAGAAAGUAAAACAAAAUUAAUUAUUUGGGGGUUUUUUUCCCCAAGAACUCUUACAGUGUUUCUCAAUUGAUGGUUAUUAUUUUUGACCAAAAAAAAAAGCUUCCUCAAAUUGCCCAAAUUAACAGGAAGUGACCCAAAAUGUAUAGGGAGUGACCUGUACAUGCCCCAAACCAUCAGAAAGUAACACAAAAUUAUUAUUAUUUUUUUUUUCAAGAACUCUUACACGGUUUCUCCAUUGAUGGUUAUUAUUUUUUACCAAAAAGGCUUCCUCAAAUUGCCCAAAUUAACAGGAAGUGACCCAAAAUGUAAAGGGAGCGACUCGGUUAUGUCCCAGAUCAUCAGAAAGUAACCCCAAAUUAUUUUUUAUUAACUCUUUCAGCAUUUCUUAACUGGUGGUCAUUAUUUUUGACAAAAUAAGCUGGAGUGAUUUGCUCCAAAAUUACCAUUAAGUGACCAAAAUGUACAGGAAGUGACCCGGGAAAGCCCCAAAUCAUUACAAAAUAACACAAAUUAUUAUUUUAAACUCUUUCGGCGGUUUUCCACUAGUGGUCAUUGUUUUUGACAAAAAAUGCUCCCUCAAUUUGCCCCAAAAUUAACAGGGAGUGACCAGAAAUGUCCAGGAAAUUACCUGAGAAUGCCCGAAAUCAUUAGAAUGUACACCAAAUUAAUGUGUUUUUUUGUUGUUGUUUUUCUUUUACUAACUUUUUUCAUUGGUGGUUAUUAUUUUUGACAGAAAAUAAAACUUCCUCAAAUUGUCCAAAAUUAACAGGAAAAUACUCGUAAUGGGAGUGACCCAGGAAUGUCCCAAAUCCUCAUCAAGUAUCAUAGUAUUUUUUUUAUUUUUUAUUAUUAACUCCAUCGGUGUUUCUCCACUAAUGGUCAUUAUUUUUGACAAAAAAGCUGGAGUGGUUUGCUACAAAAUUAACAUUAAGUGACCAAAAUGUACAGGAAGUGACACGAGAAUGCCCCACAUCAUUAGUAAGUACACAAAAUUAAUGUGUGCGUUUUUUUAAAUAAAUUUUUACAUUGGUGGUUAUCAUUUUUGACAGAAAAAAGCUUCCUCAAAUUGCCCAAAAUUAACAGGAAGUGCCCCAAAACCCAAAAUGUAACAGGAGUUACCCAGGAAUGUCCCAAAUCAUCAUAAAGUAUUACAGUAUAAAAGUGUUUUGUUGUUGUUUUUUUCGGAACUCCGUCAGUGUUUCUCUACUAGUGGUCAUUAUUUUUGACAAAAAAAAGGUGGAGUGAUUUGCUCCAAAAUUAACAUUAAGUGACCGAAAUUUACAGGAAGUGACCCAGAAUGCCCCAAAUCAUCAAAAAGUAACCCAAAAUUAAAUAUAUUUCUUUUACAAACUCUGUUUCUCUGCGAGUGAUGACUGCCCCCCCCCCCAAAAAACUCAUUUGCCCCAAAAUCAUAUUGUGUUCUAUUGGAUUGACUCAUUCAGUGUAAUUGUUUUUGACCAAAACAGCUUCCUCAAUUUGUCCCAAAAUGUACAGGAAAUGAACCGGAAAGGCGGGAAUGCCCCAAAUCAUCAGAAAGUAAAAAUUGAAUGUUUUUUUUUUUGUUUGAUUUUUUUAUUGACUCAGAGUUAUUCCAUUGGUGUUGAUUAUUUUGGACCAAAAAAGCUUUCUCAAAUUGCCCCAAAAUAUACAGGAAGUGACCCGGGAAUGCCCCGAAUCAUUCAAUAGUAACACAAAAUGAAAUGUUUGUUUUGUUUUAACACUUUAAGUGUUAUUGUAUUGGUGGUUAUUAUUUUUGACCAAAAAAAGCUUCCCCGAAUUGCCCAUAAAUGUACAGGAAGUGACCCGGGAAUGUCCCAAAUCAACAGAAAGUAACCCCAAAAUCAUAUUGUGUUAUAUCGUAACAACUCAUUCAGUGUCAUUAUUUUUCACCAAAAAAAGGUUCCUAAAAUGCUCCAAAAUGUAUAGGAAGUAAAUGCCCCAAAAGCAACAGACUGACCUUCCUGAUUUCGCGCAGUCUGUCCAGAAUGUUCUGCUGCGGCGCCAGCGUUUGGCUCUGCACUAAGGACGCACAGACAUCGCAGGGGGUCGUGACAUUUGUAGCUGAAGAACCAGAGGGUCAGGGGUCACCGACCUUGUCUGCCAUUCAUGAGAACUUCCCGCAGGUCAAAU
This is a long non-coding RNA of Corythoichthys intestinalis (scribbled pipefish), 7370 nucleotides long. RefSeq lists it as uncharacterized. The transcript is spliced from 3 exons. NCBI's taxonomy places the organism in Eukaryota, Metazoa, Chordata, Actinopteri, Syngnathiformes, Syngnathidae. The record is from RefSeq and is a predicted model, not a curated record.